This 251-nucleotide ribosomal RNA is filed under the name uncultured Lactobacillus sp. Its description in RNAcentral is "partial 16S ribosomal RNA". It matches the Rfam family "Bacterial small subunit ribosomal RNA", at positions 111 to 355 of the family's 1533-position model. Lineage: Bacteria; Bacillati; Bacillota; Bacilli; Lactobacillales; Lactobacillaceae. The record is from RNAcentral.
UAACGCGUGGGUAACCUGCCCUUAAGUCUGGGAUACCAUUUGGAAACAGAUGCUAAUACCGGAUAAAAGCUACUUUCGCAUGAAAGAAGUUUAAAAGGCGGCGUAAGCUGUCGCUAAAGGAUGGACCUGCGAUGCAUUAGCUAGUUGGUAAGGUAACGGCUUACCAAGGCGAUGAUGCAUAGCCGAGUUGAGAGACUGAUCGGCCACAUUGGGACUGAGACACGGCCCAAACUCCUACGGAGGCAGCAGCA